RNAcentral lists this long non-coding RNA (3968 nucleotides) under Homo sapiens (human). Its description in RNAcentral is "HSALNT0390231". The record is from RNAcentral. Lineage: Eukaryota; Metazoa; Chordata; Mammalia; Primates; Hominidae.
AUCUCUUAUAAAAUCAUACAGGAAACAUUAUCAAACAUAAAAUGAUGUUUGACUUUCUUUAUUCUAAAAACUAAUAAAAAUAGGUGCUAAAAAUUUUCCAAAUGAAAAUAAAUAUUGCUAAACCAAAGAGAAAUGUUAUCUAAGCCCCGUAUAAAAAAUAAAUAAAUCUUGUUCCAAUUGCAUCAAAAAACCCAUUAAGGGCCCUCCAGCACAGGGUUAAUACCAACGAGUUUCCACCUCCAGCUGCUCCUAGAGUGGCCACAGCAUGAGCCAUCUGGUGGGGGACCUAGCCGCCAACAGACACUUCCUGUACAGGGGAGGGGGGAGGGGGCCAGGCAGCCGUUAGACAGCACAACCGAACCCAACACCGGGGCCCAACGGCAGGGGCUUGGGCAGGAGCAAGGUCCGAGGGCUGCCAGGUCCACGCUGCUUUUAUGAGCUGUAACACUCACCGCGAAGAUCUGCAGCUUCACUCCUGAGCCCAGCGAGACCACGAGCCCACCGGGAGGAACAAACAACUCCAGACGCGCUGCCUUAAGAGCUGUAACACUUGCCGUGAAGGUCUGCAGCUUCACUCCUGAGCCAGCGAGACCACGAACCCACCAGAAGGAAGAAACUCCGAACACAUCUCAACAUCAGAACGGACAGACUCCAGACGCACCACCUUAAGAGCUGUAACACUCACCGCGAGGUUCCGCGGCUUCAUUCUUGAAGUCAGUAAGACCAAGAACCCACCAAUUCCGGACACAGUAGCAUUUGGGAAUAAUAAGAAUUGUAGCUGGGCAUGGUGGUACACGCCUGUAGACCCCUAGCAGCUGCCAUCAUCCUCACCAUCCGCAUAUUAUUGAUAUAUUAACUCUUUGAUGGCAACCAUAGCUUAUCCCCCUUAUCUCCCUAUGCCCUACAGCAGGGCAGUGGAAUGGUUAAGAGGCUUUGAAGUCUAAGAGUGCUGGCUUAAAACCCUAAUUUGUCAUUUUGGAUGUGUGGCUUUGGACACUUGGGGCAGGUCACCUAUGUUCUUCAAGCCCUGUAUCCUUAUCUGUCAGAUGAUGAUUUUUUUUUUUUUAGACGAAGUCUCACUCUCUUGCCCGGGCUGGAGUGCAGUGGCAUGAUCUCGGCUUACUGCAAGCUCCACCUCCCGGGUUGACGCCAUUCUCCUGCCUCAGCUUCCUGAGUAGCUGGGACUACAGGCUCCUGCCACCACCCGUGGCUAAUUUUUUUGUAUUUUUAGUAGAGACAGGGUUUCACCAUGUUAGCCAGGAUGGUCUCGAUCUCCUGACCUCGUGAUCUGCCCGCCCCAGCCUCCCAAAGUAUCAGAUGAUUUUAACAACUAUGCUUCCAUGACUUGCUGGGCUAGAUGAUAUGACUGUAAAAUGCCUAACCCAUGGUUUAGCAUCAAGUAAGCAAAUUGUAAAUGGUAGCACUGCUCUGCCUAUGACUAUUUAGUCUUGUGCUUUAAACUCAAAUAUUUGUUGGCCUACUGAAGUCACCACACAGAGAAAGAUGCUUUUCAUUCUCAGUAAAGAACUUUGGGAGAUAACUGGGGCAGGCAGCAAGAGAACAGAUGUCAUAUGUCUAGCAUCAGCAAACUCAUCAGAACUGAUGGGCAGCUCACUUUGCUUAGAACCUGCACCAGCAUACACACGGGGCUGCUUCCCAGUCACACUGCUCCUGGGAAGGUAGGGGGGCUGCUGUUCUGCAAUUAGCGCGGUUCUUUACCUCCUAUUACCGAACUGCCAGAGUUCAUUUGUGUUCAGUUAGGUAGAUGACCAAUUCUUGUUCAUUCCUAUUUUCUUUUGCUCACUAAUGUGUUUAACGUUCACUAACCUACCAAAUGUGAUUUAUUAGCGACUUUUUCUUUGAAGAUGGAGUGGAGGAAUCCUAGCGCUUUCUGCAACAUGCUACUGCUGUUAUGGAACAGUGCAGAUAUGGAAGUGCAUCAGCCGGGGAUGGGGAGAGGCUAGGGCAGUACAUGUGAAUGGAGAGGUAGCCCCACCAGUGUGUUUUCUGAAAUACAGUCCCGCAGAGGGCAGUCUUGGGAAAUUACUGUUCUCACACACUCUUCUUGACCCUACCCCUCCAGCACCUCCCUUGCUAUCCAAGGGUUGGGAUUUUUAAAAAGAAAAACAAAUUUUAAAAAAAGCAGUGUGAAUCUUUUGCCAUCUUGUAAGGGUGAAAAGCCCCCUACCAAGUCGGGAUGAACAUUCAUGCGUGUGCUUGAGGGCUUGGGAAAAAGACAGGGCUUGGCCCCACAGUGCAGGUAGGCCCAGUGAUCCUAUAAUAGGGGCCAGGAGAUGGGAGGUCCCCUGUGGGCAGGAGUUCAAGUAUGUGGUAUUAUAUGACUGGUGCUUGAUGAACCCAGGGAGAGGGCACCAAAAACAAUGGUAUUUAAUUGUAAAAUCUCCACCCCCUGAGGAUAUGUUUUCAGGUCUGGGUGACUAAUUAGACUGGGAAACAAGGGCAGGAACGAUGGCCCUGUGCUUGCUCUGCCCGCUGCCUCUGUGGAUGUGUGGGCUGCUGGCUUCAGUCCUGCUUUUCUUUCUGAUGGUAUUGUUUAUGCUAUGUGUUUUUGCAGGAGGCCUGAGGUGGGCUGGGUUCUCCUCCUAUGGCAGGGCUUCACUCUCCUCCUCCUUCUCUGUUGGGGCUUCACUGUCCCUGGGAUAAGAAUAACAAUGCCAAGGUUUUCAUUCUUGAAAGGAGCAAUUAAGCGUCUCACCCCCUCCUCAUUUUAGAUGGGAACUGUGAGGGUCCCGUCAUUUACCCAGGGUCCCUGUUGAGGAUCUUGUCCUCAUUAGAUGACUUCUUGUGCAGCUUCCAUGCGUGAUUCUUUACUCUUGUGGCACUGAGAGGUUUGUACAUGUCUUUAAGCCAGAGCGGCUUUCUGAAUGAAAAAAGUCCAUCCUAGAAGAUAGAAAGGGAAAUAUUAAUUUUGCAUGUCCUCUGCUUUCCCUGGUCACAGCAAUGAAUCCUCCAAUGUACCUGACUCUCCCUUUGCGAAGAGCAUCUCCGUGGCAGAAAUCUGAAAAUGCCCCUGGGGAGACACAUGCACAAGACAGUUCGUGAGCCACACAUCUCCCCACACCAAGCUCCUCCAUACAAGACCUCGGACUGCAUCACGUAAAUGCUUUUUCAGGGGCAAAAUCUAGAGAAUCUGAAACGAGCUAUCAGCUUCCCAGUUUGCACAAUUCAUCAAGAAAUUAUGCGGGGUCACUGGCACAAAUGAUGAGGCAUCUCCUGGAAGCUUAACUUCUUAUCCAUCCCAUCUCUUGGACAGAUGAUGCCAGUUAAUUACUUUGAAUAGAAGACUCACUGGUGGCACCUGCAGCUGCGGCGUUUUCCCCAAGGGGUCUGUCACACGCAGCCCAACUCAACUGGAGUCCUGAGAAGGUGAACAGACCAGGAUGGAUGGCCAGGGAACUCACCAGAAGUCCCCAGGCAUCAGAACAAGGUCGAAGCAUCCUGAAGCCGACAGCUCUGGGCUUGUGCCCAUCAAGCACUCUUCUGCCCAUUUUAUACUCUUGUGGACGCAUGGUGGUGUUGAUACAGGCCCCGAGUUAAAGGAUCCAUGGCUGCACGUGACAAGACAAAGCAAAAGCAGGCCAGAGUUAAACACGCCCCUUGGGUCCCCUCCUUCACUUCAUAAAUGGGAAAACCAAGGUCUAGGCAGGGAAAGGGGCUCAGCCAAGGCUACAUACACAGCACACUCACGGCCGAGCCGGGAUUAGGACUCCCAGCAUACCCCGUAGCCUUCUCUAAUAAGAGAUAGGCUGCUGGGUUCUUCUUUAUCAAGUGUUGGUCACUCAUUAUUUCUCUCUGUGUUUCUUAAAACAAUUAUUCUUUAAUAUCGUUAUAUAUUCAGUAAGUGUUCAAAUUUCCAACUGUUUUAUGUCAGAAAGCAUUUUCUAACAUUUUGAUUAAAUCAAGAUCCAAAUAAGAUGCACACAAUAUGAUUAGUUGAUGUCUCUUAA